This is a non-coding RNA of Brugia malayi, 241 nucleotides long. NCBI's taxonomy places the organism in Eukaryota, Metazoa, Nematoda, Chromadorea, Rhabditida, Onchocercidae. The record is from RefSeq and is a predicted model, not a curated record.
ACAGAGAGAGGGAGAGAGAGAGGGACAGAGGGAGAGAAAUGAUUGGAAGGAAUAAUAAAAAAGGUAAUCAAUGAGUAAGAGAGUCACUGAGGAGGUGUAAUAGUUAAAUGAUGGGUGAUAGUAAUAGCAGUAGUAGUAGUAUUGGUAGUAAGCAUAACAGGCGGUAGUAUAAUUUUCUAAAUUCGAUCGAUCUUCCUCUCUCUCUCUCUCUCUUUCCCUCUCUCCCUUUCUUUCUCUCCCU